CAUUUCUUCUCUAUUCUCGACUGCCACAUCAAUCUUUUAUUUAUCCAUUUAUAGGAUUAACAUGGCCAUUGUAGUGGUUCAGACCAAAUUACUUGUUCAAUGUUCAAGAUGCUUUCUUUUUGUUGGGGUAAUAACUAUCAAGUCUUAUACUGAAAGAAGUAAAAAGAUACAAUGAUACUUGUGUGCUCACAAUUCAAUGGAAAAUUCAUCUCGUAAUUAGUCAAGGACUAGGGCUUUGAUCUUUGAUUUGACACUGUAUGACCAGAAAAUCAUGGAUAUUUAUAUCCUUCUUUGUCAAAUUUCUGGGAAGUUAUGUUUUAUGUGAAUGCUUUUUCUUGCUUUGAUUGAAAUAAGAGAAAAGUCCCAGGUUACCGUGCGCAGUUACUAUUCUACUGCCUUAUAAUGUGAUCUAGAUUCUUGAAUCUUGCAUUCAAAGAUUUUAAAACUAGGUUAGACUUAAUUCAACUUCAAUUUACUGACUGCAUUUUCAAAUAGCUGCUUUGAUUUCAUAAAGGCUUGAAUUUUCUUGUCUUUCAUGACAAUCUUCUCCAACGUGGUAACAUAAAGACCAGUCAGCCCUGUGACAAAUUGCUGACCUUUUGUAGUUGUGGUUUAAGAAGAUCAUGCUCCUUGUUGGUUUGAUUUUGAUGAUAAAGGUUUUCACAGAAAACUUUAAUAAACAAACUUUAAGUAUUUUAAUAAUGAACGAAUGAAUAAUUUUAAAAGUGGUAUGCCAGAGUGCAAUGAUUGAAAACUAAUGAUGCUUGAUGACAUAAAUCAUAGAAAUAAAGUAAUAUUCGAAUACCUGAGAUUUAAAAUAGAUGUAAUCGAAUUCUUGAUAUUCAGAAGACAAAUAAUUUAGUACUUCAGGUUUAGAUGAAAAAGUAAUUGAGUAUUUGAGGUUUAUAAUCGAGUAUUAGACUUUCAGUAACAAAUACUCGAGUAUUGGAAAGAAUUGAAAAAUAAUACUCAAAUAUUUUAAGGAGGAACUGAGAGUAUUUUUUAUGCAGUCAAAAAUACUCAAGUAUUGGAAAAUGAUACUCGAGUAUUAGACUGUAGCACAGAAUGUAUGCAAGUCUCAGUCUCAAAGAUACUCGACUACCAAACUACCUGAAGCUAAAUAUUGAAAUCUAAAAAAAAUGCACUGCACGAUACUCGACUACUAGGUCCAUGAUACUCGAUUAUUGGAAACCCUCUAUCAGAAAUAUCUGAGAAUCAAGCCAUUGGAAAGCAACCAUUUCAGUCAGAAAUCUUUUCAAAUCUCCAUCCAACAUCUCUUUGACGUUGCAGGUUGAGAAUUUCAAAUUUCAAAUUGCUUUAUCUAAUCAAAUGUCAGGUUAGGUCAUUUUCAAAGCAUGGGGAACAUGCUGAUGUAUCUGCUCCUGACAGGUUUGGUACAAGACCAUUUGACCAACCUUUCUACCUAUAUAAGGUCGAGAAAAAUGAAGAAUAAACCGAGGAGAGCUUGAGCCAAAUAAUCUGAAAGAACAAGAGCUUCACAUUCAUUCUCCUCCUACAAUUCUUUGCAACUAUUACUACCUAGAAAACAGAGCUUAGUUGCAGAUUAUAGAAUCCUCCCAGUGUUCUUAUUUGUAAAACACCUUGAGUGUUAUCCUUUGUGAGGUUUUCUAGUAUUGUGAGUGUAUCUCACAAAUCUUCUUCUUAAAUUGUAAAAGCGAGGGGCUAUUGCUUCAGUCGUAAAAAGCAUUUGUAAGGUUAGGUGCUUGAGCUUGUAAAAAGCACAAGGUUGGUUAGUGCUUAAGCUUGUGUAAAAAGCAGAAUAUGACUGAAAAGUGAUAGCAUACAGGAUAGUGCUUGCCUCUUCAAGAAACAUUAUGUUAGUGGAUUUGGAAAUUCUUGGCUAGGAGUCAAGGUAGUCAACAUAGGCAAGUUGUCGAAUGACUAUAUAAAUACUGUAUUAUCUUUGCUUGAUUUCUUCUUUUUUAUUCAUCUUUGUUACAUACUUUAAUCUUGCAAAAUCCUGUGAAGCACAAAUUCACUUAUUUCUUAAGUUUGAAUACUUGACUGUUGUACUUAAUUUUAUUGUUUUUGUAUUUUACUCAUUACAAACAUAUCUUUCAUUGUUGUUUGAGGAAAAAGAAAAUAUUUUCAAAAAUCCAAUUCCCCCCCCCCUCUCUCGAGUUGCCUUUUUACCAGGGCCAACACUCGUUUUCCAUGGUUUUCAAUUUUAUUGAUAGCUUGAGUUUGGCCAUUUCUUUGGCUUGAAAUUCUGAGACAUCAGCCUAUCAAAGGUGGUCUGAAAAUUUUGACCCUCACUUUCUCCUUUGAUGGUCUCUGAAGUUUCUAUUACUUGCGCAUUACUGGAACUAUCUGUGUCAUUGACAAAAUCAGCCAGUUUGCAGAGAAAAUAAAAGCAAUUUCACAAGACUCGCCAUUGUAAUGGUCAUUUUCAAAUUCAUCAGAAUCAUCCCAUGUAGUAGUAUAUAAGACUUUUACUUUUUUGUUUUUACCUGUUGGCAAAUUCAUUUUUAAAAUGAUCAAUGCUUUGAACCUAAAAACAUCUACCAGAAGCAGGCUGAGGUUCAUUUCCAUUCAUUUCAAUUUUAAAUAGUUUUUGUUAGAAGAAUUGGAAGAUUUUUUCCCUUAAAAUUUCCCUUUGAAGGGUUGGUUCCAAAUUUAUUUUUUCCCAUCUUUGUUUCUCAGAUUUUUCACCAUGAAGGACAAAACUUCUUCAAAGUUAUUAUAGAUAUCAUAAACUGUUUAAAGUAAUGCAUUUGACUUCUUGGUUUGACAUAGAUUGAGCAUAUAGGUCUAAAGGUUUCCAAUAAGUUGAUCUACACUUUGACUACUGCAUCCUUGCUUUCCUUGAUAGGCAUGACUUUUUAGGUUUAAAGCACUCAAGUAAAGAUCUUAAUUUUUUUUUUCUAAAAAUUUUAUUUUUGGAAUAUUUUUCACCUAAAUUCAAGCUGGAAUUUUCUAUAUCACUCAAUCUAGCACGAAAAUUUAUUUACAAGCCUAUUGAUUAGAACGUCUUAACUUCCAGGGCAUGGAAUAUAACUUCAAGUUCACUGAACCAUUCUGAGCAUACAUGGAAAUUCCAUAAGCAUAAAUGGUCAUAUAUAUACUGAAUAACAGAAAAUGUGUUCUAAUCUACAGAUUUAUUCAUGCCGAUACUUCACCGGUUCAUAAUACAUCCAGCAGUAGCACUUGACACUAGUUACAUAUUUCACUUGUUAAAAGUUUAAAGGUACUGCAGCAUUUUAAACAUACAUGCACAUACAUUUUGUUACUGAUUAACAUUAACAAAGCUGAGAUUUACAGUACAAGGUGCUAAUGUAACAAUACAUCAUUAACCCUCAGGGCCUUACAUUCUUAUGUGAAAUCACAUACUAAAAUCCUUGGUUUUAAUCCUCAACAGAAGUAGUAGAAACAUGAGCAAAAAAAUAGCACGAGAAAUAUAUCAAAUAGCCAAACAUUUCUAUACUGAGCUUUGGUAAGCCUUCACCCACACCAAUCACUAAUCUGUGUGAUGAUAAGAGAUCAUAUGAGAUAUAAGCUUAGGAAGAUCCCAUUGCUAUAUGACACAUGCGCACUGUUGAAUUGUUAAUUGCCAUCUCAUCUAAAAGCUUAAGUUGUUAUAUAGAGGAUUAACUUUAUUUUUUAUAUUAUUUUUUCUCUCAACUCGCCCUCUCACAUGUGGCCAAGCUUCACUACAUAAUAGGUCCAAACAUGUGCUACAAUUCAAAUAUUGGAUUAGCGGUGAUGUUUGAACUCAGUACCUUAGCUUGCUUUUGAUACCAUGUUGGAUUGUUAAUGUUGGAGAAGAUAAAGGAGAAAAUCUAAGCUAUGACCGAGAGGAUAAGAAGAGGAGAUAUUAAAGAUAGAGAUGAAGGAGAGAUCUAGCUAAAAAGAUAAGGAUAUUCCUUAAAAUCAGAUAAGGAAAUCCUGAUAUAAAUUGAUCUUAAUCUAAAGGAUUGUUGUAAUCUAUACCUAAAUAUUAGGAGUGUAAUCUAGUCCUAAAUUUUAGGAGUUUUCUUAGGAAACACUUUGUAUAUAUUUGCAUCCCACAGUUCAAUGAAUUUUAUGGAAGUUAUUUCAUUCACAAAACUUUCAGUGAGUUUACUCUUUAUAGCAUCAGAGCCAUAGAUCGUAGCAGGGUUUCCACCUCUUUUUUCUUCUUCUUCAGUUGGUAGAACUUUGUAAGUUCGUGCUAUGGCUGAAAAUUUGUCAGCGAGUGAAACGUCCACCAAUCUACCAACCGCAACAAGGAACACUCAAGUCCCAUAACCUCCAAUCACUCUCGAUAAUCAUUCUCUCCAGAUCACCUAGCAUAAGCUGAAUGGAACCAACUUCAGAGAGUGGUUCCAAUCAGUUUUGCUGGUGAUAUGAGGAAAGGGCAAGAUUGGAUAUCUAAAUGAGAUGGUUUCUAAGCCAAGUGUUGAUUCAGAAAAUUAUGGCGUGUGGGAGGCUGAAAACUCGAUUGUAAUGGCAUGGUUAGUCAAUUCUAUGGAGCCAAAGAUUGGAAGGACCUACUUGUUCUACAAGACAACCUAGGAGAUAUGGGAAGUUGUGCAAGAAAUCUAUUCGGACAUGGAGAACACUGCCCAAAGCUUCCAGAUGCAUUUUACUAUUGGGCAACAAGGCAAGGUAAUAGUUCAAUUAUUGAAAUUAUAAUGCCUUAACUAAAUUGUGGCAAGAGAUGGAUUUAUUCCAUGAGAUUAAAUGGGAGUGUGCUGGAGAUGUAAAGAAGUAUGAAAAGAUGAUAGAAAAAUAGAGAGGCUUGAUUUUUUGCACGGUCUAAAUUCUAAUCUUGAUGAAGUAAGAGGGAGCUUACUCGAAACCAAACCCUUUCCAUCAAUAAGGGAAGUCUAUGCAGAAGUGAGAAGAGAAAAAAGCAUAAAAAAGGUGAUGCUUAAUCUUGUAGGGGUGAUCAAUUCUGAUGCGAACUUAUAGUCAUCAACAUUGGUCUCCUCAAGGACCAAGACAUCUAAUACAUCCAAAGGAGAGCUACAAAAGGACAAACUUUGGUGUGAUUACUGCAAUAAGCCGUAUAACAUAAAGGAAACUUGCUGGAAAAUUCACGAAAAACCAGCAAACUUGAAGCCUAGAAAUUAGAGGAAGGGAAAUCAAGUAGCCUAUGGAAGAGAAGCGGAAGCUAGAAAAACAACCAAUUUGAUUCUAUCUACAGAUCAGUUGGAGAUGCUACAACAACUAUUGAGCCAAACCAAGAUGGCUAAAUCUAAGACAAGUGAAUCUCCUAGCCUGGUAGUGUCUCUUGCUAAGUAAGGUAUACGUAUACACUCUCUAAUCUCUUUUAAAUUCCCUAUAGAUUGUUGGAUAAUUGACAUAGGUGCUUCAGAUCACAUGACUGGAUCUUUGAAAGUACUAUCAGCUUAUGAACCUUGUGAUCAAGGUUUACCAAUCUCAAUGGUUGAUGGUACCACAGCCAUGGCACAAGGGAAAGGAUCUAUCUUCGGAGAGAAUGAUUGGCAGUGCUGUGGAGAGAGGAGGCCUCUACCAUAUUGCAAAGAAUGAUUCAGCUAACCCUUUUUGCGUCCACAAGCAUCAUCACUAUGGUUCAUUACCACGACGAGAAGAACUUCUCCAAGAUGAGGCACUUGAAUACCAAGAGUGUUGCUCAUAACCAAUGAACCAGUGAUGGCCAUAGAAGCACAUUCAUUGAGAAAGAUUCAUGCUAGAAAACUCUGUGCAAGUGAGAUGCAGGAUGUGGUGUCACAUGUAAUAGCCAGAGAAGGGAUUCUUAUCUCUCUUUGCUGGUUAUCAGUCUAGCUUCUACUUCCUCCUUUUUCUUCAGAUUGCAGCAAAAAUCUUGACCCAGUUUCAGCAUCAGAAAACAGCAAGCAUAUACGCAAACUCUCUCUUUCAGGGUGUAACAAAAUUGGGAUGUUAACAAUUGGUAGAUUGAGGAAGUUUGGGGGUAUACCAGAAGGCACUAAAACUCCAGCAGAUAACAAAUUGGUACACAUGUUUCAAUCAAUGGUAAAUAUUAUUCUACAAUGGAUUUGGCAAUCCUAGUGAUCGUAAUAUUUUUCAUAUUUGUUCUCUUAAAAGAUUGCUUAGGAUGAGAAAAAUUAUAUAAUAUUAAAUAAAAUUUAUGCAAUAGUAGAUUUUUUG
Long non-coding RNA from Diospyros lotus (date-plum), 6096 nucleotides. RefSeq lists it as uncharacterized. The transcript is spliced from 4 exons. Lineage: Eukaryota; Viridiplantae; Streptophyta; Magnoliopsida; Ericales; Ebenaceae. The record is from RefSeq and is a predicted model, not a curated record.